GGAGAGUGGUGGAGAGGGAGAGUGGUAGAGAGGGAGAGUGGUAGAGAGGGAGAGUGGUAGAGAGGGAGAGUGGUAGAGAGGGAGAGUGGUAGAGAGGGAGAGUGGUGGAGAGGGAGAGUGGUGGAGAGGGAGAGUGGUGGAGAGGGAGAGUGGUGGAGAGGGAGAGUGGUGGAGAGGGAGAGUGGGUGAGAGGGAGAAUGGUGGAGAGGGAGAGUGGUGGAGAGGGAGAGUGGUGGAGAGGGAGAGUGGUGGAGAGGAGAUGGUGGAGAGGGAGAGUGGUGGAGAGGGAGAGUGGUGAGAGGGAGAGUGGUGGAGAGGGAGAGUGGUGGAGAGGGAGAGUGGUGGAGAGGGAGAGUGGUAGAGAGGGAGAGUGGUAGAGAGGGAGAGUGGUAGAGAGGGAGAGUGGUAGAGAGGGAGAGUGGUAGAGAGGGAG
Long non-coding RNA from Oncorhynchus tshawytscha (Chinook salmon), 433 nucleotides. The record is from Ensembl. NCBI's taxonomy places the organism in Eukaryota, Metazoa, Chordata, Actinopteri, Salmoniformes, Salmonidae.